RNAcentral lists this long non-coding RNA (1712 nucleotides) under Salmo salar (Atlantic salmon). Its description in RNAcentral is "lncRNA (ENSSSAG00000095037.1)". The record is from RNAcentral. Lineage: Eukaryota; Metazoa; Chordata; Actinopteri; Salmoniformes; Salmonidae.
GUCCGGUCGAGCGUCACUAGCCAGAUAAAGCUAGCUGGCUGCUUAUAACCUUAGCUUUGGUCAACAGGGUUAAGUAGCUGGCUAGCUAUUUAUUUUCAUGAACUGAAGUUCAAUUUCAAUUGGCAAACAACAAGUGGCUACCUAGCUAAAACGUACUCACAAGGAUUCCUUGUUAAGGAUAAUGAAAAUGACUGCAGUUUCUACUGGUCGUUGUUUUCAGGCUGGUUGUAUUGGUGCUAGCUAGGUACCACGCUAAAGCUAGCUAGCUACCCCAGAAGAUGCAGUCAAACAAAUAAUGUCUUAUUACCAUCGUGGUAUUGUAAACAUAUCGUUUGUGGCCAUUGUGUGCUUGUUUGCAGACUUUUUUGUACAGCUUUGACAGUGCUACUGAUAGUGGUGGCGCUUGGCUUACACGUGCAAAUUCAUCACACACAACAUUCUAAUAGAAUUAUUCUAUAUGUGUAGGGAAGUAUUUAAACACUUGCUUAGGUCCAACCUCUGAUCUUUCCAAGGAUUUUUUAUAUGCCAAACUGGAACCCAAACAAUGCAAAAACUGGGCAUCGACGCGUCGCAACUCCAAUAACCCUUCCUUGAGCCUAUGCCUCUGACAGCACAAUGACUGAUGACUCCCCUUCAGGCUACAGGAAUGGAACCAGGGAACAGUGAGGGAAGGGUUGAGGUUCUGGGAUAAAUUUAUUGGACGGACAGGAAGGGUGCCCACGAUGUCCCGGAGCAGAUGGCGACCCUCUCCUUUGCUGACGUCCGUAGGGAAUUCAAGACCCUUCUUAGCAUUCCUUUAGAGUGCUCCGACAGAUAUAUAUUCUUUGUUGUUCUUCGUUAGCUAGCUAGCUUCUUCCAAAAGAGUCCCUAGCAACAGAUGAUGAUGAUGAGUUACUGAUGGCCUGCUUGCUGGUUCCAGAGGCAAGUAGGUAUGGCUGCCGUCUUCCCUCCGUCCCAGGUACUCAUCCAGGCUCCUACAAGAAAGAAGAAAAAGACAAAAGAACAAAAAAUUAUAUUCAACACAUGCUGAAAAGAACAAAAAAUUAUAUUCAACACUUAUGCUGAGGUAAAGAAAGUUCAUAACAGAUAUUUAUUAUGCUAGGAUAAAGGAUUUCAUCUACAAUUUGACACACAUGCAUACAAAACAUUAUAGAAAUGAUUGCCUUGUUCAACUUCUUUGUUGGAAUUUGAUUCACAUACUGAGAUCGAAGAAGGUGACAUCUGCCAUAUACCUUGUGAAACACAAUGAGAUGGUCAAUGGCCUGAGCUGUGCUGAUCUUCUGUGUUUUCUUCCUACCAGCGGGCUUUGAUGAUAGGAUGUUCAAAGGAGUAGGAGGGAAGACAUGUCCCUGUCCCACUGUAAACAAGAAUUGCUGAUAUUAGUUUUGCCCAGCAUCAAAUGAACUCAUCACCAACAGUUCAAGUGCUUUAAGUUCCCUACAAGGACCCCAAGUGAAGACGUUGCAGGCAAAGAUGUCGAGAUUGUCUGCGCUUAUGGAUUGUAGACUCUUUGGGAUAGUUAUGACAACCCCUUCUACCUCAAAAGAUUGUCUUACUACUACAAUAAAUGUAUUUAUUGCAUUGAAUGUGUUUUAUGCACCUGUGUGGUGUGUCAUGUCAUGUGUGUACUCCACCAUUUUACAAAUGAAGUUCUUUGUGGAAAAAUACAGUCAUUUGAAUUAAAUAAUUUGAUUGAACAAAUUCACCUGGAU